Molecule: ribosomal RNA, 199 nt
Filed under: uncultured bacterium
Lineage: Bacteria
Description: partial 16S ribosomal RNA
Rfam family: Bacterial small subunit ribosomal RNA
Source: RNAcentral
ACGCUCGACACCUACUGGAGGCAGCAGUGGGGAAUAUUGCACAAUGGGGGAAACCCUGAUGCAGCAACGCCGCGUGAGCGAAGAAGUAUUUCGGUAUGUAAAGCUCUAUCAGCAGGGAAGAAAGUGACGGUACCUGAGUAAGAAGCCCCGGCUAACUACGUGCCAGCAGCCGGCGGUAAUCUGAGCGGGCUGGCAAGGC